GCCUCCCCGGAGGGCCGUUUUUCCCUUUCAUUUUUCAUCUGGCCAACAAACAAUGUGGUCACAGCCUGUCGGGAACUUCCGUCCUCCAACCGUAAGGGGGUGGAUGGCUGAGAGUGGAAAUUCCAAGAUGAGAAAACUGAAGUAACUGGCCCAGGAUCUAAGGACUUGACCAACUUUGAAGCGUUCAGAGGAAGCUGGACCUCCACAUCUUCCUACCUAUGUCCUAGCAUUAUCCUCUGGAUCAGUAGUGGCUCUCAUCUUUUGAUCUGUGUCAUAACUGAAGCUUUGGAUCAGCUAAUUGCCAUCUGUAUCAGGAGCCAAGGACUGACCGGAAUCAUGGCUGUGCAGCAAAGAAACUCUGCCAUGCCUAAAGGGAACUUCCCGAGUGCUCCAAGAAUGGGAGAAAAGAACUCCAGAAACCAAAAGCUAUUUAGUUAUUCCUUUGCCACAUGUGCUCUCUAGGUUUAAGCCCACUUUUUCUUGGAUUCUGCAUGUACUUAUGAGGGGAUGUCGCAGACUUUUGGAGUGUUUCAUAUAACAACCCUUCCAACUAUACCAUCUUAGUAAAUACCCUUUUCUAAAAAACUACUCAAAGCUUUAAUGGCUAAAUUUAUUCUCAAGUGAUAGUUUUGGGAGGCAAUACCAGUGGGGGCUUGAGCCAAUGGCAUUAAAGAAUCAUCCCUGAUCCUUUAGGAAUACUUUUAGAAUUCGAGGGGAAGAGGUAGCUAGGGGAUUCAACUCAUCAGUAAAAGUGGAAGUAGGUAUAAGACUAUCUCAGAACUUUGAUGGGCUACUUGGGGAAAAGAGAGCAAAAGGAUACAGAACAUCUGUAAAAAAAUGAAGGAAGGAAGAAGCAUAGAAAAGGGAGAAAGGUAUGAAGAGGAGGCCGGCAGAUAUAUGUAUCUACUGUGCAAAUUUAUUGAGGGUUGGCCCUCCCAUGAAUUUAAUUCAUCUUCUGGUUACUGAAGAGAAAAGAAACUGGAUUAAAACUAGUUUAGAAGUGACACAUAGGGGAACUAAAGAGACCCUUGCCCCCCCUUUUUUUGCCAUCUUCAAAAAAAAAAAACUAUCACAGGUCAAAAUGUCCUAUGUACCUUGAUUCUUAAUUCCCUUUUGAUAAUAACCUUCAUUCUUCAGACUCCACACAACACCUUGCUCUAUGCCUCUGUGAUUUAUCCUUUAUGAGAACAUUGUACAACUCCACCUCAAUUAAUAUAUUGCAAUCAAUGUAAGAUAGGAUUAAAUUUUAAAUGAGUAACCAAAAUGGCUCACCAUCCCUCUCCCUUCAUUAGGUAUGAAAUUCUUCUAUUGGUCAAUAAGGGAAUUGGCUAACCACAACUCUAGAGCUUUACACAGCAGAAUUCCCCAGUCCUUCAAUGUUAUCCCCAGAACUGUGAGAGGAUGUAUAAUAUAUUGUUCCUUUACGCCUUUGCCCCAACUUGCACUUGCAUUCACCAGUUGGGAUAGCCAGAAGAUCAAGUGCUCUUAUUUACCUCUCUGGAUUCUAGGGGUAACCCCAAGGGCCUAGAGUUUCUAAUAUCGUCAUUCCCAAGUACUCACAGGUAUGCUUCCCAUUUUAAUCAAUUCAUUAGUUUUCUCAGUAAAGGGCAUUUACUGAUGUGGUCAUAGUAAGAACA
This is a non-coding RNA of Monodelphis domestica (gray short-tailed opossum), 1637 nucleotides long. The record is from RefSeq and is a predicted model, not a curated record. Lineage: Eukaryota; Metazoa; Chordata; Mammalia; Didelphimorphia; Didelphidae.